Molecule: ribosomal RNA, 253 nt
Filed under: uncultured prokaryote
Description: partial 16S ribosomal RNA
Rfam family: Bacterial small subunit ribosomal RNA
Source: RNAcentral
ACAGAGGUCCCGAGCGUUGUUCGGAUUCACUGGGCGUAAAGGGUGCGUAGGUGGCAUGGUAAGUUUGAUGUGAAAGCUCAGGGCUUAACCCUGAAAUGGCAUUGAAUACUACUGUGCUGGAGGUCUGGAGGGGGGACUGGAAUUCUCGGUGUAGCAGUGAAAUGCGUAGAUAUCGAGAGGAACACCAGUGGCGAAGGCGACUUACUGGACGAUUGUUGACGCUGAGGUGCGAAAGCGUGGGGAGCAAACAGGA